Molecule: long non-coding RNA, 1059 nt
Organism: Macrobrachium nipponense
Lineage: Eukaryota; Metazoa; Arthropoda; Malacostraca; Decapoda; Palaemonidae
Exons: 2
Source: RefSeq, a predicted model, not a curated record
CUGAUCAUUCCUAACUCUUAAUACAUUAUAGUAAGAUUUCUUAUCAUUGCAUGCUUAUGCUCUGAAUCUCUCAAUUUGAAACCACCUUUAUGCUUUAUUUUAUUUCAAAGUUUAUACCUUUCUUUGUUGUUUGUGAUGCUCCAUAUGAUCCUCUCUAAUUCCACAUCUCAACUUUUCAUGCUGCUGUUCCUAAUAUACUAUUUUCAGGACUGUCUUUAUUUGCACACUAUUACUACCUUUAAACUUCCCUAUUCCUAUUUCCAUGCUAUAUAACUCAAAAUUUUUGCCUUUCAUAGUAUGAAUGUACUAGUGUAUGUGUGCAAUGAUUAGUACUUGAAUUCUGCAACUUCCUCGCAGGGACCUUAUAAUUUGUUAAUCUGCAUUCUAAUGCAUGAUAUAUCCAUAAACUGUCCUGUCUAGUAAAAUCCAUAAUUUUUUUUAUGUAAUAUCAGUUACUCUUCCUACCAGUUGUUAGUGUUUGGCCUUCUAAUUGUCACCCACUGUGAAAAUAUUUUUUUCCUGGCAGUUUCUGCAAUAAACAAUGCUUCACUUAAAUAAUAUAUAUAGAUUGGCAUUUUUCUCUGUUUUCUCAUCUAAUUCAUGCUUUCUAUUCCCACCACACAUGCUACUACAAAAUUCUAUUGUUACAGUAUUUCACCAAGGCUUAAUUUUCAGGAACAUCGGUGCUCCCAGGCUAUCCGCUUCAUAGUUGCAGUUGAUGGAAGAUUCAUCAACUCAGACUUGACUUCACUCGUGCUGCGAUGGCCAUGGUUUUCGCAGCAUUUUUGAUAUAUGAUAUUUAUUACCCAUCAGAAGCUUCAGUCACAAUGGAAUUUAUGCAGAGGUGUUUCUGAAAAAUAAAUGCAGAAAAAGGGACAAAAAAUACCAGAACAAAGAAAAACGUGGCACACACCCAUUGAAGAAUAUUAAAGUUCAAUGAGCUUAUGGAAUAAGGAGUGAAAAAGCAUUCACACUCUUCUGUAUAAAUAAUUAAUGUUAAAUUUUGUGUUAAAAAAGUUAUAAAUCUGUUUUUCAAGAAUAAAGUUUUUUAAAAGUUAA